UAAACCCUUCCUACUUCUGAAUUAACAAAAGCUCAGCUCCGGCGAAUACAGAACCAGAAAACAUGGUUGUUCUAAGAUCGUUCUUCAGGCGAUCCCUUCACCCAUCUCUCUCCUCUUCUACUCUCCGGUGGAACCGCUCGCAUCAGGCCUCUUAUUCUUUCCAAUAUCAUCGCUCUCUGAGGGCUCAAUCUGCCUCUCCGGACCCGGACCCGGAUUCGAACCCGAGACCCAUCCCCUCACCCUCCGCCCCGUGCCUGCUACUGCUCGGAGACAAGAAAGUUCGUUGCUUUUACAGAUCCAAUAGCAACCCAGAACUCAACAAUAACCCAAUUUGUUUGGGUUCCUCCCAUGGCGGUUUAUCUUUGGCAAACCCUCAAGCGUUGAUGAAGAAUUUUGGCGGAGGGCUUCUCCCGUUUCGCAAUCGCAAUCUAGGUAACCAGCGACAUAAAAGCAGCCUAGUAGGAGCCUCAAAGACUGCUUCUGCAACAACUUAUCCUAAACCCUUCUGUGAAUGGCUAGCUGGAAUUAUCGAUGGCGAUGGAAGUCUUCAAGUUAACAACCAAGAACAUACUUCUCUUGAAAUUACUAUUGGACUUGAAGACAUAGCACUACUAAGAUAUGUCCAACAUAUGCUUGGUGGAAGUAUUAAAAUGAGGUCAGGUGCUAAAUCUUAUCGUUAUCGACUGCGUGAUCAGCUUAGUAUGAUUAAGCUCAUGAAUUGUAUUAAUGGCCACAUUAGGCAUUCGCCAAGGUUAAUUCAACUGCAUCGUGUCUGUCAAGUACACCAUAUUCCAGUACUUCUACCUGUUACACUGGAUUCCAAAUCGAACUGGUUUGCAGGAUUCUUUGAUGCUAAUGGUGCCAUUGGUAUGGCUAUGAAGCAUCAAAUACCUCAACUAAGUAUUCGAGUAACUAGUAAACAUCUGCAAGAUGUGGAGUCUUAUAAGGUUGUAUUUGGUGGAAAUGUCUACUUUGAUAGUGGUCGAAAUGGUUACUACGAAUGGUCUGUACAGAGUCCAAAAGAUGUUGCCACGAUUGUGGGUUACUUUAGAUCAACUACUUGGAGAAGUAGGAAAUCGAAGCGGUUUUUCCUUGUUGAUGAAUAUUACAUGCUUUAUGAUCUCAAAGCAUUUGAGCCUUCCAGUAUGAACCAUAAAGCGUGGCUAGCUUUCCUAGACAAAUGGAAUAACUUGGGGGUGUAGAAGUAGUCCACCUUUCUUCUAUUCAACCAUUUAUAUGUACUUAACUUUGUUCUAGAACCAUUACUUUGACACUGGAUAUAUAGGGUUAUUGGAAGGGUUAAGGAUGGUGAUUGGUAUACACCUAUGUAUUUGGGGAUUUGCAUUUUUCAUAUACUAGUGUGCUUUUGGACUUGGUGGCAUGUUGAGUGCAGAGGUUGUGAUUGAUAUUGGUGACGGUGUAGUGUUUUAGGGUUUAAAUAAAUGGGAUUAUUUUGUCAACCGAGAAGUUUAGUGGGGGUGUUGAGGACUAAUUCUGUGUAUUUUAAUGAGGCUCUUUCAUGGAUAGAUGCAAGGAUGGUUCUUGGAGCAUAUGCAGGACACCUUAAAUAUUUCAGUGAGAAUGAAAGACGGGAAUUAAAUGAGCUGUCCAAAGUUGGUCAGAUUAAGGAAUGAUGCAUAGAUAAGAGGAUUGGAUGCCAAGGGAUUCAUAAAUAACCCUUUUCUAAAGUGGCUGAAACAAGAAAGUUUUCAUUGUAUUAGCAGGACUUAUAUCCACUGCACAGGAAAGUUAAUCAGAAAUAGAGUUUGGAUUUUUAUUGCAUCUUAAAUUUUAUUAUUCAUAAAUGUAAUAAAGAUUGAUUGUGCCUCCUAAUUUUACUGUUUCAUGGAUUGAUUCAUCAAGCCUGAGCUUUUGUUUCUCUAUAUAUUUUGAAUUGAACUAAUGUCCUAUGAUGUUCCAUUCACAGCC
Ipomoea nil (Japanese morning glory) is the source of this 1929-nucleotide RNA transcript. It is a transcript of the gene named UDP-glycosyltransferase 74E2-like, with no coding region annotated. The transcript is spliced from 2 exons. Lineage: Eukaryota; Viridiplantae; Streptophyta; Magnoliopsida; Solanales; Convolvulaceae. The record is from RefSeq and is a predicted model, not a curated record.